This 1537-nucleotide long non-coding RNA is filed under the name Mus musculus (house mouse). RNAcentral's name for it is "predicted gene 10649". Lineage: Eukaryota; Metazoa; Chordata; Mammalia; Rodentia; Muridae. The record is from RNAcentral.
AGUCCAAUACCGGCUGAUCGGCAAUCAGGAUGGAGAGGAUAGCAAUCCUGGCAGUCGCCCUACUGACGUUUUCAAAGUGUCUUUGGGCAACCCUGGAAUUUGACCUGCAGAGUUUCUGUAAUGGGUUCCUUAUUGCUUCUCAUGACUGGUACACUUUAACACACUCAUUUGCUCUUUAUAUUUCCUGGAUUCAAAGUUGUGAUUAGGCCUGCGGUCUCCUAUAUUCAGGAACAUACAAGUUAAUUAUUUUCAGAAGGAGCAAUGCAAUGUCUAUGUUUUACUCAAAUGUUUAACAAAGUGAAAUGUAUGUACACUUAAGUUCAUCAAUUUCAAAUAUGGUAUUUUAUGAGUUUUGAGAAAUAUAUGCAGUCAAGAAACUUGUCACAAUGAUACAGACAUGUCCACGAUCCUGAAAGCUUUGUGUGCCUUUUGUAGUCAGAUUCCUCUGGCUGCCUACUGAAGACCACUAAUUUUCUUUUAUCACGAUGGCUUUGGCUUUUCUAGAAUUUUAAGCAAUUGAAAUUGUGUGUCAUAGCAUCUUUUGUUUUCUUGUUCUUUCAUGUUUGAGAAUUACCUCUGCUUCUGUGUGUAUUGGUCAUAUGUAUGUAUGUAUGUAUGUGUAUUUGAUACAGGUUUUACCUAUAUGUCCCAGGUUUCCCUGGAACUCACAAUUUUUCCCCAGCCUCCUGAGGGCUAGGAAGGGAGGCAUGCAGCAGCACACUUACUUCUUUCAUUGUUGAGUGGUGUUUGAAUACGGAUAUGCUAUGUAUUGUUUGUUCAUCCAUUCAAUACUUGAUGGAGAUUUGGGUUACUUCAAGUUUGGGGCCAAUCUGUAUAAAACUAUUGAAUAUAACUGAUGCCUGAUCAAUUCAUUAAAACAGCCAAAUACUUAGACUUUCUCUCUUCCUAGCAUGGAUUCCUUCCCAGGUGCUGAGAACUGUCCAUGCAGUAAGAAUUUCAAGUCAUUUCAUUUUGUACUAUAGUCACAGUUUGUAUUUGUGUUCUGGUCUGUUAGCCUCUCAGUUUGCCAUUUCCCAAAGUAUUAGCCUUAAAAGUAGUUGUGUUUUAUUAUUUCUUUUCACUUAUAAUUUUGUUUAAACUUUCAGUACUUUUUUAAAUGAAAGAUAAAACUCUACAUCUACUACUUAAUGACCCAGGGGUAAACUUUCUGGAAAGGCAGGAUUAAUGACUCAUUCUUUCUUCUAACUUAUUUAAUUUUUGAGAUAAUGAAUUAGUUUCUAGACACCCACAGGUGGUUAAUUAAUCUUAGAUACAUAGUUGUGAUGAAUGGUUAAUUCCCAUAUUAGUCUGUUUCCCAUAUUCCAACAAAAUAGCCAACAUGUAUAAAAGUAUCACAAAAAACUAUGAGUACAAAAGAGAAAUUCUCAGCAAGCAUAUCAUAUAACACAUACCUGCAAAAAUUACACAAAUUUAAUGGAACUUAUUCAAGGUUUGCGAGAUUCAAAAUGAAUAAAACAUACUGAUGUAAUUCAUUGCACUCACAGGCUAAAGAAAAGGCCUGAGAUCAUGUUCUAUC